RNAcentral lists this non-coding RNA (23 nucleotides) under Arabidopsis thaliana (thale cress). The record is from RNAcentral. Lineage: Eukaryota; Viridiplantae; Streptophyta; Magnoliopsida; Brassicales; Brassicaceae.
AAGAAUUAACAAACUAGCCAUGC